Molecule: long non-coding RNA, 315 nt
Filed under: Setaria italica (foxtail millet)
Lineage: Eukaryota; Viridiplantae; Streptophyta; Magnoliopsida; Poales; Poaceae
Description: long non-coding RNA (SITA_LNC003809)
Source: RNAcentral
UUGGAGCCACUCCAUGGCAACAAAUGCUCAACCGGAGCUACAAUGACAAUGUCAUCACCCACCAAAGAAAAAAAAUGAUCUUGAACAUCUUGCAUCAUUCCAUAAGAUUUUUCUAAAGUUCAUAGAUGCUUCAAGUUAACGGCACACAUGUACCAAGUAUUUAUGAAAGAAAAGGGGAAUCAAAGCUAUAUUUGCAUUCUCUUGGGCCUGACAACGAAUACACCAAAUAAUUUUGUACCUUAAUCCAAUAGCUCUUUUACGGUACACAAUACUACUACUUAGUAGUAUAUAGUAUAUAUAAGAUCUAAAUGUUCA